RNAcentral lists this ribosomal RNA (270 nucleotides) under uncultured archaeon. RNAcentral's name for it is "partial 16S ribosomal RNA". It matches the Rfam family "Archaeal small subunit ribosomal RNA", at positions 477 to 747 of the family's 1478-position model. The record is from RNAcentral.
CAGCUCUCCGAGUGGUGGGGAUGCUUAUUGGGCCUAAAGCAUUCGUAGCCGGUUGGGCAAGUCCUCCGUUAAAUCCAGCGAUUCAAUCGUUGGACUGCGGGGGAUACUGCCCGGCUUGGGGGCGGAAGAGGCCGACGGUAUUCUCGGGGUAGGGGUGAAAUCCUAUAAUCCCGGGAGGACCACCAGUGGCGAAGGCUGUCGGCUAGAACGCGCCCGACGGUGAGGGAUGAAAGCUAGGGGAGCGAACCGGAUUAGAUACCCGAGUAGUCC